Molecule: non-coding RNA, 29 nt
Filed under: Mus musculus (house mouse)
Lineage: Eukaryota; Metazoa; Chordata; Mammalia; Rodentia; Muridae
Source: RNAcentral
UUCCUACUCCGUGUGACGGGACCUGAAUA